UACGGGAGGCAGCAGUAGGGAAUCUUCCGCAAUGGACGAAAGUCUGACGGAGCAACGCCGCGUGAACGAUGAAGGCUUUCGGGUCGUAAAGUUCUGUUGUUAGGGAAGAACAAGUACCGGAGUAACUGCCGGUACCUUGACGGUACCUAACCAGAAAGCCACGGCUAACUACGUGCCAGCAGCCGCGGUAAUACGUAGGUGGCAAGCGUUGUCCGGAAUUAUUGGGCGUAAAGCGCGCGCAGGCGGUCCUUUAAGUCUGAUGUGAAAGCCCACGGCUCAACCGUGGAGGGUCAUUGGAAACUGGGGGACUUGAGUGCAGAAGAGGAGAGUGGAAUUCCACGUGUAGCGGUGAAAUGCGUAGAGAUGUGGAGGAACACCAGUGGCGAAGGCGACUCUCUGGUCUGUAACUGCGCUGAGGCGCGAAAGCGUGGGGAGCGAACAGGGAUUAGAUACC
This 454-nucleotide ribosomal RNA is filed under the name uncultured bacterium. RNAcentral's name for it is "bacterial SSU rRNA". It matches the Rfam family "Bacterial small subunit ribosomal RNA", at positions 340 to 786 of the family's 1533-position model. The record is from RNAcentral.